RNAcentral lists this ribosomal RNA (361 nucleotides) under Nepinnotheres pinnotheres. RNAcentral describes it as "partial 12S ribosomal RNA". The record is from RNAcentral. Lineage: Eukaryota; Metazoa; Arthropoda; Malacostraca; Decapoda; Pinnotheridae.
UAUUAUUUUAAGAUAAUUUUUUUCCUAAGUUAGUAAUAGAUAUUUACUUAAAAGCUAAAAGAUUUGGCGGUAAUUUAAUCUUUUCAGAGGAACUUGUUUUUUAAUCGAUAACCCCCGAAAUAUCUUACUUAUUUUUGUAAAAGUUUGUAUACCAUCAUUAUCAGGUAAUUUUAAAAAAAUAAAUUAUUAAAAAUAAAAGUUUAGUAAAAUUAGAUCAUGGUGCAGCUAAUAAAUAAGUUAAAAUGAGUUACAAUAAAUUAUUUUACAUGGAUAGAAAAAUGAAUUUUUUCUAGAAAGAGGAUUUGAUUGUAUUUAAAAUUUAAUAAGUUUGAAAGAUGGUAGCUCUAAAUUAUGUACAUAU